UACGGAGGGUGCGAGCGUUGUUCGGAAUCACUGGGCGUAAAGCGCGUGUAGGCGGCCCACUAAGUCUGAUGUGAAAGCCCGGGGCUCACCCCCGGAAGUGCAUUGGAAACUGGUGGACUCGAGUCCCGGAGAGGAGAGUGGAAUUCCUGGUGUAGCGGUGAAAUGCGUAGAUAUCAGGAGGAACACCGGUGGCGAAGGCGGCAUCCUGGACCGACAUUGACGCUGAGGAGCGAAAGCUAGGGGAGCAAACGGG
RNAcentral lists this ribosomal RNA (253 nucleotides) under uncultured bacterium. RNAcentral's name for it is "partial 16S ribosomal RNA". It matches the Rfam family "Bacterial small subunit ribosomal RNA", at positions 524 to 776 of the family's 1533-position model. The record is from RNAcentral.